AGCGAACGCUGGCGGCAGGCCUAACACAUGCAAGUCGAACGAACUCUUCGGAGUUAGUGGCGGACGGGGGAGUAACACGUGGGAACGUGCCUUUUGGUUCGGAAUAACUCAGGGAAACUUGUGCUAAUACCGAAUGUGCCCUUCGGGGGAAAGAUUUAUCGCCAUUAGAGCGGCCCGCGUCUGAUUAGCUAGUUGGUGAGGUAACGGCUCACCAAGGCGACGAUCAGUAGCUGGUCUGAGAGGAGGACCAGCCACACUGGGACUGAGACACGGCCCAGACUCCUACGGGAGGCAGGAGUGGGGAAUCUUGCGCAAUGGGCGAAAGCCUGACGCAGCCAUGCCGCGUGAAUGAUGAAGGUCUUAGGAUUGUAAAAUUCUUUCACCGGGGACGAUAAUGACGGUACCCGGAGAAGAAGCCCCGGCUAACUUCGUG
This 433-nucleotide ribosomal RNA is filed under the name uncultured bacterium. Its description in RNAcentral is "partial 16S ribosomal RNA". It matches the Rfam family "Bacterial small subunit ribosomal RNA", at positions 29 to 507 of the family's 1533-position model. The record is from RNAcentral.